GGUUUCUCUGUAUAGCCCUGGCUGUCCUGGAACUCACUCUGUAGACCAGGCUGGCCUUGAACUCAGAAAUCCGCCUGCCUCUGAUUCCUGAGUGCUGGGUCUAAAGGCAUGUGCCACCACUGCCUG
This 126-nucleotide microRNA precursor is filed under the name Mus caroli (Ryukyu mouse). RNAcentral describes it as "miRNA (MGP_CAROLIEiJ_G0007770.1)". Lineage: Eukaryota; Metazoa; Chordata; Mammalia; Rodentia; Muridae. The record is from RNAcentral.